GAUAACGAUAUACAACUAUUAUUCAACCAAUCAAAGUACAAUUAUUCAACUAACUAAGCAGGCUAAUAGGAACUGGAACCUCAAAGCAGAAUACAUACACAAUUUGACCUCAAAAAUGAAUCUAUGAUGUUGGAAUUUCGCUUUAUUUCGAUUUAUUCCGUAACUUAAUAUCAUAAUAUCAAAAUCUAUAUCUAUAAAUUCAUAAUAAAAAAACAAUAUCUCAAAUUACUUUGUGGUGCCAUAUCAGAAAAAUAAAAAUUAAUACCUUCAACAAAUCCAAAGUAUUGAAUCACAAUUACUCUCAGAUCCAUACAUCCAGAGAAAUUAAUUACUAUCGCCGUCGUCAGCCGGCGACAACAGGGGUAUUGCUCUCCUGCUUCCCCUGAUUCCGGCCAUCACCUGGGUUCUAUUCAACAUCCCGGAGCCGGCGCUGAACCAGAUCAACCUGAUGCGGGAGACCAAAGGUGUGGUCCGUCGGCCUCGGGUUGAGCGGCGGAAUCGCUCGGCUGCUGGCGUUGACGACUCCUGAGGCGUCGGCGGCCGCCGGGAGCGACAACAGGGGCACGAUGUUGCUGAUUGUGGUUGGUGUAAUAAUUGUUCACCUGAAAGCAUGUGGUAGAGAUUGUUGUUGGGGGUGAGAAGGGGAUGCUGAUUGAGGAGACGACAGUAUGAUAAUGGAAGAGAUGACGGCGAUUGUUAUUUGCUUUAAUAAUAAAUAAUAAUAUUGUUAUGUGAUAAUAAAAUAGACUGUUGUUAUAACAAAGUUUCUGCCUUUCUAACCAGGAAAAAAAUUAUGAUUCCAUUAGCUGCUUACCGUUGCCAUCUCAUAAUCGCAGGUGCUAAUUUAGUAAUCCACAUCGUAGUUACUCGUUAGUUAGCACUUACCAGACUAAUUAAUUUCGUCGUUUGAAUCAGUUUCGUUAAUCCAGCGCAUACAUACGCCACCCUGAAAGCAAAGCAAACCCCCAAUCAACGAAUUCCACCUUAUAUAAAAAAGAGAGAAGACAUCUCUUCCUUCCCAUUCCCAAAUUCUUCUGAUUCAACCUUCCUCGUCACCAUCACCAUCUUCUCCCAUUAACUCCCUCUUCUUCCCAACAACUCUUUUUCUCUUAAUACUCUAUCCAAACCCAAUUCCACUAUCCUCAAAAAUCUCUCCCAUACUUUGAAUCAUCACUGCUGGAGAUAAGAUUUCCCUCCUCCUCUCUCCCCAAUUCGCAUUCUCUCCUUUCC
This 1230-nucleotide long non-coding RNA is filed under the name Linum usitatissimum (flax). Its description in RNAcentral is "long non-coding RNA (LUSI_LNC007993)". Lineage: Eukaryota; Viridiplantae; Streptophyta; Magnoliopsida; Malpighiales; Linaceae. The record is from RNAcentral.